This 301-nucleotide ribosomal RNA is filed under the name uncultured bacterium. RNAcentral's name for it is "partial 16S ribosomal RNA". It matches the Rfam family "Bacterial small subunit ribosomal RNA", at positions 509 to 807 of the family's 1533-position model. The record is from RNAcentral.
CAGUCGCCGCGGUAAUACGAAGGGGGCUAGCGUUGUUCGGAUUUACUGGGCGUAAAGGGCGCGUAGGCGGGCGAAUAAGUCAGGGGUGAAAUCCCAAGGCUCAACCUUGGAACUGCCUUUGAUACUGUUUGUCUUGAGUCCGGGAGAGGUGAGUGGAACUGCGAGUGUAGAGGUGAAAUUCGUAGAUAUUCGCAAGAACACCAGUGGCGAAGGCGGCUCACUGGCCCGGAACUGACGCUGAGGCGCGAAAGCGUGGGGAGCAAACAGGAUUAGAUACCCCUGUAGUCCCUGUCUCUUAUAC